UCAAUUAAAUAUAUUUUUAUCUUUUUUUUCUACCAGAGAAAACCCACAUCUUAAAAACCAUAUAUGGUUGAAAUUAAUGAAAAUGCGGCAAUAAAAUACAGUGUGGCUGACAAAUUAUUAGAAAAAAGCUUCAUAAUUAUUAAACUUACAGGAAAUUAAGUACAAAGACUAUUAUGCAUGCACGGCCUAGUAAAUAUUUAAAUCCGAAGGAAAUUAAGCAACAAGAAGAGUGAUGAGGGAUCAGGGAAAAGGAUUUUGAGACUGGAGAUACUGAGAUAGAGUGAAUAAAGAGAGCUUAUUCAGCCUAGCUAUUAUCUAUCAGUAUAUGUAUGCAUAUCUAGCUAAUUCUCCUGAGCACGAUCAGUACGAGGGAGUGCAGGCAAUGCAGGCAAGCAAGAGAAUAGCUGAGGAAGCGCCAUCUUCUUCGAGAUUGGAGCUGCUCCUCUUGAACUUGCAAGUUUUUCCUUUGUUACAUUGAAUUUGCUUCUGCGUAUGCUGCUGGCAGUGACUGUGUUGUUGAUAGUUGCAAUUCUCCCUUCCCUUGUGCUGUUCUUGCUGCCUCUUCUUCAUGGCUUAACUUCUUUAUUUAGGCUCUUCUUCUCCUUUGUAGAGGAAACUCGGCGGUACUCACUAUGACUACCUGACACUUCGAAGAAGAGAGGAGAGGGGGCUGUGCAUGGUGAACGGGCGUCCAAGGUCUCAUUUUAUAGCUCCUAUUUAUACCAUAAUGCCCUUGAAUCCUAUCCAUAUUCACCUUAGAGGACUCACCGUGGGACCCUGGGAGUUGGGAUCUCCAAGUCUCCUGCCGACCUAUAUUACACUUAGCAUGUGUUUUCUACGUGGAGAGAUGAAUGACAUG
Molecule: long non-coding RNA, 859 nt
Filed under: Populus trichocarpa (black cottonwood)
Lineage: Eukaryota; Viridiplantae; Streptophyta; Magnoliopsida; Malpighiales; Salicaceae
Description: long non-coding RNA (PTRI_LNC002936)
Source: RNAcentral